UUAAUUUGAUGAAUACUCCCAAUUGUUGUAAA
Molecule: non-coding RNA, 32 nt
Filed under: Mus musculus (house mouse)
Lineage: Eukaryota; Metazoa; Chordata; Mammalia; Rodentia; Muridae
Source: RNAcentral